Molecule: ribosomal RNA, 440 nt
Filed under: uncultured bacterium
Lineage: Bacteria
Description: bacterial SSU rRNA
Rfam family: Bacterial small subunit ribosomal RNA
Source: RNAcentral
CCUACGGGUGGCUGCAGUGGGGAAUCUUGCGCAAUGGGCGAAAGCCUGACGCAGCGACGCCGCGUGAGCGAUGAAGGCCCUCGGGUUGUAAAGCUCUGUGGAGAGGGAAGAAUAAGGGUACGUUAACAGCGUGCUCGAUGACGGUACCUCUUUAGCAAGCACCGGCUAACUCUGUGCCAGCAGCCGCGGUAAGACAGAGGGUGCAAACGUUGUUCGGAAUUACUGGGCGUAAAGCGCGUGUAGGCGGCGGCGCAAGUCGGAUGUGAAAGCCCAUGGCUCAACCAUGGAAGUGCACCCGAAACUGCGUUGCUAGAGUCUCGGAGAGGAAGGUGGAAUGCUUGGUGUAGAGGUGAAAUUCGUAGAUAUCAAGCGGAACACCGGUGGCGAAGGCGGCCUUCUGGACGAGUACUGACGCUGAGACGCGAAAGCGUGGGUAGCAA